RNAcentral lists this ribosomal RNA (1305 nucleotides) under Tetraclita japonica (Japanese acorn barnacle). RNAcentral's name for it is "16S ribosomal RNA". The stretch from base 837 to 1227 matches the Rfam family "Bacterial large subunit ribosomal RNA", at positions 2049 to 2651 of the family's 2925-position model. The record is from RNAcentral. Lineage: Eukaryota; Metazoa; Arthropoda; Thecostraca; Balanomorpha; Tetraclitidae.
UAGAAAUAAUGGUUUGAAAAGGAAAUUUUUAGAAGUAUAAAUAUGUGUAAGUAGUGUUAACGAAAUUUUUUUUUGCUAUAGAGAAUUAGUACAGUGAUGGAAAUUGUUGAAAAAUUAUUUUUGAAAAAUUUUAUAAAAGAAUAGGAUCUUUAAUUUUGGGUACCUUUUGUAUUAGCGACUAUUAAAAUUUUAUUGGAAAAUUAUUUCUCGAAAGUAAAAGAUCUAAUUAGAUUUACUAGUUUUUGUGUCAAAAAAAUUUGGAAAAUUUAUUUAGGUGUGAGAUGCUAAUCGCUUUUACUGAUAUCUAGUAACUUUGGAAAAAAAUUUAGUUUGGUUUAUUGGGGAAUUCUUUACUAAGAAGAAGUUUUUUAUAUAACCUUAUAUUUUAGGGGAUGAGCUCUAAAAUAAAUUUAAAAGAUAAUAAAUAUUUAGAUUUUAGGUAGGCUUAGAAUUGGCCAUGAGAUAGUGUUAUAAGAUAGAAAUAGAGGUUUAAGAUUUAUUUUUCUUUAGUGUUUACAAAGUUUAUAAGGAAAUGUUUUAAUUAUUGAAAAUAUGAUAGUAUAAGUAGACAGAUAUAUUAGGAAUUAAGUUUGGAUAAUUCAUGGAAAAUAUAAUUAGGGUUUGUAGCAAAAGAACUCGGCAAAUAAGAUUUCCGAAUGUUUAACAAAAACAUUUCCUCUUGUUAAAAGGAGGUAAGGCCUGCUCACUGAAAUUUAAAGAGCCGCAGUAUUCUGACUGUGCUAAGGUAGCAUAAUCAUUAGUCUUUUAAUUGGAGACUGGUAUGAAUGGUUAAACGAGAAAUCAACUUUUUUUGCUAUAAAGAUUGAAUUUAAUUUUUUAGUGAAAAAGCUAAAAUUUUUCAGAAAGACGAGAAGACCCUAUAGAGUUUUAUAUCACGAAUAAUUUUCUUUUAGUAGGUUUUUUUGGAUAAAAUUUUUUUGUGAUAUUUUGUUGGGGCGACAUUAAGAUAAGAAAAACUCUUUAUUUUGAAAACUUUACUAAAAGAAUUAACUGAUCCUUUAGAAGAGAUCAUAAGAAAAAAUUACCUUAGGGAUAACAGCGUAAUCUUUUUUGAGAGUUCUAAUCGACAAAAAGGUUUGCGACCUCGAUGUUGGACUAAAAUUCAGGCAGGGUGCAGUAGUUCUGUCUUUAGGUCUGUUCGACCUAUAAUAUUUUACACGAUCUGAGUUCAGACCGGCGUAAGCCAGGUUGGUUUCUAUCUUCUGAUUUUGUUGUUUCAGCUUAGUACGAAAGGAUUGGUUGGAUGUAAGAAUUAUAUGGAAAAGAGUAUUAUUAAUUUAAUCU